This 209-nucleotide long non-coding RNA is filed under the name Mytilus galloprovincialis (Mediterranean mussel). The record is from RNAcentral. Lineage: Eukaryota; Metazoa; Mollusca; Bivalvia; Mytilida; Mytilidae.
UGGGGGGGGGCUAUGGUUUUUUUUUUCUGUACAAACUUUUUUUUUCGCCUGCGGCGAAAAAACAAUCUAUUUUUUUCGCGACAAGUCGAAAACAAUUUUUUUCUUUCAAUUUUAGCAUUACAUAUAGUGGCAGCUGAGGGUGAAACAAACAUUUUUUUUUCUCAGAAUCAAAAACAAAUUAUUUUUUUCUCCAAAAACUGGAAACAAAC